RNAcentral lists this ribosomal RNA (253 nucleotides) under uncultured bacterium. RNAcentral describes it as "partial 16S ribosomal RNA". It matches the Rfam family "Bacterial small subunit ribosomal RNA", at positions 524 to 776 of the family's 1533-position model. The record is from RNAcentral.
UACAGAGGGGGCAAGCGUUGUCCGGAUUUACUGGGCGUAAAGAGCGCGCAGGCGGUCGUUCAAGUCGAGUGUGAAAGCCCCCGGCUCAACUGGGGAGGGUCAUUCGAUACUGAUCGACUCGAAGGCAGGAGAGGGAAGUGGAAUUCCCGGUGUAGUGGUGAAAUGCGUAGAUAUCGGGAGGAACACCAGUGGCGAAGGCGACUUCCUGGCCUGUUCUUGACGCUGAGGCGCGAAAGCUAGGGGAGCAAACGGG